AACGUUAUGCAUUUGGUGGGAAAUAAACCCAUGACCCAUCAGCUGGGCUUCAGUACAGUUUAUUUACAAGAGGGGACACGUGUUCAUCAGCAUGAAUCUGUCAAAAAUGUUCAGUUUUAAACACAUUUUAAACUAUUCCGAGGAAACAUUUAAUAAAAAAAUACGUUGGUAUUUUUUAAACGUUUUAAAAACGUUUUAUUUUGGAUGCAUAUUUUUUAAAUAUAGGUGUGGUUUUUCAAACGUUUUUCAAACGUUGUACUGCAACAUUACCUAAUUGUAACCAAAAUGCAACGGUGUUAAGGGGCUGUGUCCACCGAGGCGCAUUUACGCGGCUGAAAACGGCCGCUGCAGGCGCCCGGUCGAACGCCGCCGCUGAUCGUGGGAAAAACGCUUAGCACCAGCGCAGAGCGCGGAAAAAAACCGUCAGCUGAUGGCUUUUUUUUUUAAAGCGCGGCGUUUCCAUAGGAAACAAUUAAAAAAACACGUCGGCCGCAGGCGUAAACGCCUCGGUGGACACAGCCUCUAAAAGUUGUAUAAACGUUUUGUGUUUGCUGGGAAAUGGAAAGCACAUAUGCAAACCACGGCAGGGAGACCAGAAGGCAGAGGAAGAGGUGUGCGGAUUCGUUGGACAGAGAAUGGCCGUGUCGGACGCGCAAUAUCGGCGGCGCAACGAAGUGCUCCAUCCGGAUUGAAGGACGGGGUGCUGAUUUGUCCGUCAAUGUCUCGGCGACUGGCAUAGGCAUAGUCUUCGGACCGGUGCUUCGCCGCCUUCAGCGGUAUCUGGGAAGGUUUUUUCAGAGAUUCUUUGGCUUAGGAACCAUGAACAGACUGUUGGCAGGAGACACCUCUGGAGCGCAAUAAACACAACAAUCGAGCUGCAGGCUUCCAAGAGGAGGACGGAACAUAUGAUGUCGACGCGCAUUGGCUGUAUCGCCUGAACUUUCACAAAAGCUCUUCUCAUAAGAUUUUCAGCCAUUUUAUUUGUUAACCUCGCCGUUUUGUGUGUAUGUUUUGUGAUAACCGAAUUAUCAGCAUGAAUCUGUCAAAAAUGUUCAGUCUGAAAACAUUAAAACAAAUUAAACGCAGUGAAAAUUUCUGAGUUUUAUUUUAAUUAGACAUAUUUAAAAGUAUUUUUAUGAUCUGACUUUUUUCAGUAGGCUACAUUAAAAGUGAGAAUUUCAACUGUAAAGUUGCAGUGUAAGCUGCAGGCGAGUUAACCGCUCUAACAUUAUACGAUGUACUGAUAUGAUUCUAAAAGCUGAACUUAACAGUAAUGUUCGUAUAGGGUAUGAGAGCUGUGCGCUCUAGCAAUAUGGUCGUGUCCGGUGUGCACUGACUUUGAGAGCCGUGCGCCAGGGAUGGAAUACUGACCGGGCCAAUGGGGCCAGUGCCCAGGGGCCCUUGACAUGAACCCGAGGGGGCCCUGGGCUUCAAGGUUACGCCAUCCAGUUUGGUACAGAAAACCCAACAACAAUGAAAACAAAUGUUUAUCUAUGUUUAAUAUAUGGGUCCCAUACAAGGCAUUUGUGGAUACCCUGUAAAAAAUGAAAUAAUCAACAAAUCAUGGCAACAUAUGUUUUUAUGUUACUUUAACUUAUUAAAUUAAAUGUGACUUAUUAAAAAUGAACUUAUUCAUUAAAUUACAGCACAUUUAAAUUGUAUUUUCUGAAUCUUUUGAUUGAUGAUUUGAUGUUUACAGACAUGUGUCACAGGGCAUUUUAUGGUGAGAAAUCAUUUUUUAUUUAUGUGAUGCAUUAAAUACGUGUAUAUUUGACAGUUAAUUAAAGACGUGUGUUUCAUAGGCCUUAAUUUGGUUCAUUGUUGAUUUUUUUCUGUGUAGCUAAUAUUAGACUUCUA
Molecule: long non-coding RNA, 1857 nt
Organism: Triplophysa rosa
Lineage: Eukaryota; Metazoa; Chordata; Actinopteri; Cypriniformes; Nemacheilidae
Exons: 3
Source: RefSeq, a predicted model, not a curated record